GUGCACGCUGGCGGUAGGCCUAACACAUGCAAGUUGAACGGCAGCACAGUAAGAGCUUGCUCUUACGGGUGGCGAGUGGCGGACGGGUGAGGAAUACAUCGGAAUCUACUUUUUCGUGGGGGAUAACGUAGGGAAACUUACGCUAAUACCGCAUACGACCUACGGGUGAAAGCAGGGGAUCUUCGGACCUUGCGCGAUUGAAUGAGCCGAUGUCGGAUUAGCUAGUUGGCGGGGUAAAGGCCCACCAAGGCGACGAUCCGUAGCUGGUCUGAGAGGAUGAUCAGCCACACUGGAACUGAGACACGGUCCAGACUCCUACGGGAGGCAGCAGUGGGGAAUAUUGGACAAUGGGCGCAAGCCUGAUCCAGCCAUACCGCGUGGGUGAAGAAGGCCUUCGGGUUGUAAAGCCCUUUUGUUGGGAAAGAAAAGCAGCAGGUUAAUACCCCGCCGUUCUGACGGUACCCAAAGAAUAAGCACCGGCUAACUUCGUG
Molecule: ribosomal RNA, 491 nt
Filed under: uncultured bacterium
Lineage: Bacteria
Description: partial 16S ribosomal RNA
Rfam family: Bacterial small subunit ribosomal RNA
Source: RNAcentral